This 369-nucleotide ribosomal RNA is filed under the name uncultured dinoflagellate. RNAcentral describes it as "SSU rRNA". It matches the Rfam family "Eukaryotic small subunit ribosomal RNA", at positions 612 to 984 of the family's 1831-position model. The record is from RNAcentral. Lineage: Eukaryota; Dinophyceae.
UCGUUGCGGUUAAAAGCUCGUAGUUGGAUUUCUGCCGAGGACGACCGGUCCGCCCUGUGGGUGAGCAUCUGGAUCGGCCUGGGCAUCUUCUUGGGGAACGUAGCUGCACUUGACUGUGUGGUGCGGUAUCCAGGACUUUUACCUUGAGGAAAUUAGAGUGUUUCAAGCAGGCGCACGCCUUGAAUACAUUAGCAUGGAAUAAUAAGAUAGGACCUCGGUUCUAUUUUGUUGGUUUCUAGAGCUGAGGUAAUGAUUAAUAGGGAUAGUUGGGGGCAUUCGUAUUUAACUGUCAGAGGUGAAUUUUUUUGAUUUGUUAAAGACGGACUACUGCGAAAGCAUUUGCCAAGGAUGUUUUCAUUGAUCAAGAAC